CCUACGUGUGGCAGCAGUGGGGAAUAUUGCGCAAUGGGCGAAAGCCUGACGCAGCGACGCCGCGUGAGGGAUGAAGGUCUUCGGAUCGUAAACCUCUGUCAGCAGGGAAGAACGGUCCCUGUUCUAAUCACCAGUGAAUUGACGGUACCUGCAAAGGAAGCACCGGCUAACUCCGUGCCAGCAGCCGCGGUAAUACGGAGGGUGCGAGCGUUAAUCGGAAUUACUGGGCGUAAAGCGCACGUAGGCGGUAUGUCAAGUCAAGGGUGAAAUCCCCGCGCUCAACGUGGGAACUGCCUUUGAUACUGGCAAACUGGAGUGUGUGAGAGGGUAGUGGAAUUCCAGGUGUAGGAGUGAAAUCCGUAGAUAUCUGGAGGAACAUCAGUGGCGAAGGCGACUAUCUGGAACAUAACUGACGCUGAGGAGCGAAAGCGUGGGUAGCAAACAGGAUUAGAUACCCUGGUAGUC
RNAcentral lists this ribosomal RNA (465 nucleotides) under uncultured bacterium. Its description in RNAcentral is "partial 16S ribosomal RNA". It matches the Rfam family "Bacterial small subunit ribosomal RNA", at positions 338 to 795 of the family's 1533-position model. The record is from RNAcentral.